UCAUUUAUAGUAUAACCAAGUAUAAUUGCCUUCCAAGCAAUAAGUCCUUAGCAGGUAAAUGAA
RNAcentral lists this transfer RNA (63 nucleotides) under Marphysa tamurai. RNAcentral's name for it is "tRNA-Gly". The record is from RNAcentral. Lineage: Eukaryota; Metazoa; Annelida; Polychaeta; Eunicida; Eunicidae.